GCGAGCGGCGGACGGGUGAGUAAUACGUGGGAAUCUGCCUAUAGGUGGGGGAUAGCCCGGAGAAAUCCGGAUUAAUACCGCAUAAUACCUGAGGGUUAAAACGGAGGAUCGCAAGACUUCGUGCCUAUAGAUGAGCCCACGUCAGAUUAGCUAGUUGGUAGGGUAAAGGCCUACCAAGGCGACGAUCUGUAGCUGGCCUGAGAGGGUGGCCAGCCACACUGGAACUGAGACACGGUCCAGACUCCUACGGGAGGCAGCAGUGGGGAAUAUUGGACAAUGGGCGCAAGCCUGAUCCAGCCAUGCCGCGUGUGUGAAGAAGGCCUUCGGGUUGUAAAGCACUUUAAGUUGGGAGGAAGGUUGCUUGGCUAAUAUCCAAGUGAAUUGACGUUACCAACAGAAUAAGCACCGGCUAAUUCCGUGCCAGCAGCCGCGGUAAUACGGAAGGUGCGAGCGUUAAUCGGAAUUACUGGGCGUAAAGCGCACGUAGGCGGUUACUUAAGUCGGAUGUGAAAGCCCUGGGCUUAACCUGGGA
This 532-nucleotide ribosomal RNA is filed under the name uncultured bacterium. Its description in RNAcentral is "bacterial SSU rRNA". It matches the Rfam family "Bacterial small subunit ribosomal RNA", at positions 91 to 619 of the family's 1533-position model. The record is from RNAcentral.